GAUGAACGCUGGCGGCGUGCUUAACACAUGCAAGUCGAACGAAGUGAAACUAAAGCUUGCUUUGCUUUCACUUAGUGGCGGACGGGUGAGUAACGCGUGGGUAACCUGCCAUGUACAGGGGGACAACAGUUGGAAACGACUGCUAAUACCGCAUAGGCGCACAGCUACGCAUGAAGCAGUGUGAAAAACUCCGGUGGUACAUGAUGGACCCGCGUCUGAUUAGCUAGUUGGUGAGGUAACGGCCCACCAAGGCGACGAUCAGUAGCCGGCCUGAGAGGGUGAACGGCCACAUUGGGACUGAGACACGGCCCAAACUCCUACGGGAGGCAGCAGUGGGGAAUAUUGGACAAUGGGGGAAACCCUGAUCCAGCGACGCCGCGUGAGUGAAGAAGUAUUUCGGUACGUAAAGCUCUAUCAGCAGGGAAGAUAAUGACGGUACCUGACUAAGAAGCACCGGCUAAAUAC
RNAcentral lists this ribosomal RNA (465 nucleotides) under uncultured Bacillota bacterium. RNAcentral describes it as "bacterial SSU rRNA". It matches the Rfam family "Bacterial small subunit ribosomal RNA", at positions 28 to 504 of the family's 1533-position model. Lineage: Bacteria; Bacillati; Bacillota. The record is from RNAcentral.